AACAGAUGUUGAAUUGAAGUCGAUUGCAAGUAGAAACAAAAUAAAUGAUAAGAUUUAAUGAACAAACUAAAGACUGAAAAUGAAAUUAACUUAAAACAAAGUAAAGCAAUAAUUUCCCCAAUUCAAACCCUGAUCUAAGUAGAAAGACAAUUAAACCAAGGGAAAAAACCCCUAAUUUAGUCCUGAGCAUUGCUAUUUAUUAUAGCAGUAUUAUAUGACCGAAUU
Molecule: long non-coding RNA, 225 nt
Filed under: Gossypium barbadense (sea-island cotton)
Lineage: Eukaryota; Viridiplantae; Streptophyta; Magnoliopsida; Malvales; Malvaceae
Description: long non-coding RNA (GBAR_LNC019180)
Source: RNAcentral